Molecule: unclassified non-coding RNA, 247 nt
Filed under: Hevea brasiliensis (rubber tree)
Lineage: Eukaryota; Viridiplantae; Streptophyta; Magnoliopsida; Malpighiales; Euphorbiaceae
Source: RNAcentral
UUUGAAUAUGAGACCUUGUAGCAUUGGAAAUGACUCCAAAGCUCAUCGGUAUAGUCAAAACUUAAGCUUUCUGUUCAUGAGGAUUUCUGAUUUUGUUUCACGGGUCUGCAUUUUUAGAAUUGUGAUGGUCAUGAAACAUUCAGAUCAUUAUCAUUCAGGAAUAGAACUGAACAUUGGAAGCUGAGGAGGAGGGAAGGAAUUGGAUAUUAUGAUCAGAUGCAUAUUUACUGGCCCCAUUAGAGGGAGG